AGGAAAAAGCAGAAGCUCCCGCUUCUCGCCUUGAGGACUAUUCGGUUCCCGGGCAUUUCUAAUGGAUUUCGGAAUAAAUGAAGUGAAGGAAGCGGGGGGCUUAGUAAUAAGUCUUCCGCUUUUUCUGUAUUUU
Molecule: regulatory RNA element, 133 nt
Rfam family: Ribosomal protein L20 leader
About the family: This family is a putative r-protein leader autoregulatory structure found in B. subtilis and other low-GC Gram-positive bacteria. It is located in the 5' untranslated regions of mRNAs encoding initiation factor 3 followed by ribosomal proteins L35 and L20 (infC-rpmI-rplT).
Source: Rfam